This 253-nucleotide ribosomal RNA is filed under the name uncultured bacterium. RNAcentral describes it as "partial 16S ribosomal RNA". It matches the Rfam family "Bacterial small subunit ribosomal RNA", at positions 524 to 776 of the family's 1533-position model. The record is from RNAcentral.
UACAGAGGUCCCAAGCGUUGUUCUGAUUCACUGGGCGUAAAGGGUGCGUAGGCGGUCGGGUAAGUCUGAUGUGAAAUCUCACAGCUUAACUGUGAAACUGCAUUGGAUACUAUCCGGCUAGAGGAAUGGAGGGGAGACUGGAAUACUUGGUGUAGCAGUGAAAUGCGUAGAUAUCAAGUGGAACACCAGUGGCGAAGGCGAGUCUCUGGACAUUUCCUGACGCUGAGGCACGAAAGCCAGGGGAGCAAACGGG